Hypomesus transpacificus is the source of this 745-nucleotide long non-coding RNA. RefSeq lists it as uncharacterized. The record is from RefSeq and is a predicted model, not a curated record. The transcript is spliced from 3 exons. Lineage: Eukaryota; Metazoa; Chordata; Actinopteri; Osmeriformes; Osmeridae.
UGUCUGAGAACGACGGCGUUUGGUUUGAGAGCGUUUUGUCUGAGAACGAUGGCGUUUGGUUUGAGAGCGUUUGGUCUGAGAAUGAAAGAUGUUUUUCUGACGGCGUUUACUUUGAGGACGUUUUGUCUGAGAAUGACAGAGGUUUUUCUGAGACUAAAGCCGUUUGGUCUGAGACUUGACGCCUUUUCGUUUGAGUCUGAGGAUGUCCUAAAAUGAACACCGUAGUACUUGAGACUGUUGAGACACAUCACCUUACUUUUGGUUUCAUUUUGUCAACUACGAGCGUGCCAGUGUGCACGACAGUUAGUACACAUACUCUUACGAUGGAUAUUAUUGAAGGGGAAUUGACGUGUGUCAUCUGCUUGUCAACUCUUACCGAGCCUCACCAAUACCCAUGUGGACACAGCUAUUGCCUGUCCUGCAUUACUGGCAUGAGGCGCUUACAGGACUACCAAUGUCCAGAGUGUCGACAAGUCUUCCCCAGAAACGAAGACGUCAUUAAGAACUACCGCCUUGCUAACAUCGCCGAAGCUUACAAGAAGUCAGCGCUCUCUAAGUAUUCUCCAAUUCAAAGAAUUAAGUCAUGGGACACUGUGACAUGGCCGCAGGCGCUGCUGAUAAUCAUAGCAACAACUUUCCUCCUUAAAGUACUUACAUACUUAGUACUUGAUACUGCGGCUGCAGAAAACCCAGUAGUGCAGGGAUCUCAGCUGGAGCCGGACUUCUGUCCCGCAGAUCUGGAACA